CAGUAGCCGCGGUAAAACCUAGGAUGCGAGCGUUGUCCGGAUUUAUUGGGCGUAAAGAGUUCGUAGGUGGUUUGUUAAGUCUGAUGUUAAAGACUGAGGCUCAACCUCGGAAAUGCAUUGGAUACUGGCAGACUUGAGUGUAGUAGAGGCAAGCGGAAUUCCAGGUGUAGCGGUGAAAUGCGUAGAUAUCUGGAAGAACACCAGUGGCGUAAGCGGCUUGCUGGGCUAUAACUGACACUGAGGAACGAAAGCCAGGGUAGCGAAUGGGAUUAGAUACCCGUGUAGUCCCUGUCUCUUAUAC
RNAcentral lists this ribosomal RNA (301 nucleotides) under uncultured bacterium. RNAcentral describes it as "partial 16S ribosomal RNA". It matches the Rfam family "Bacterial small subunit ribosomal RNA", at positions 509 to 807 of the family's 1533-position model. The record is from RNAcentral.